ACUGCUCAGUAACACGUGGACAACCUGCCCUUAGGACGGGGAUAAACCCGGGAAACUGGGUAUAAUACCCGAUAGGUCUCGAUUGCUGGAAUGCAUCGAGAUUUAAAGCUCCGGCGCCUAAGGAUGGGUCUGCGGCCUAUCAGGUAGUAGUGGGUGUAGCGUACCUACUAGCCUACGACGGGUACGGGUUGUGAGAGCAAGAGCCCGGAGAUGGAUUCUGAGACACGAAUCCAGGCCCUACGGGGUGCAGCAGGCGCGAAAACUUUACAAUGCUGGCAACAGCGAUAAGGGAACCUCGAGUGCCAGGUUACAAAUCUGGCUGUCGAGAUGCCUAAAAAGCAUUUCAUAGCAAGGGCCGGGCAAGACCGGUGCCAGCCACCGCGGUAACACCGGCGGCUCGAGUGGUAACCGUUAUUAUUGGGUCUAAAGGGUCUGUAGCCGGCCGGAUAAGUCUCUUGAGAAAUCUGGCAGCUUAACUGUCAGGCUUUCAGGAGAUACUGUCUGGCUCGAGGCCGGGAGAGGUGAGAGGUACUUCAGGGGUAGGGGUGAAAUCUUGUAAUCCUUGAAGGACCACCAGUGGCGAAGGCGUCUCACCAGAACGGACCUGACGGCAAGGGACGAAAGCUAGGGGCACGAACCGGAUUAGAUACCCGGGUAGUCCUAGCCGUAAACGAUACUCGCUAGGUGUCGGCCACGGUGCGACCGUUGUCGGUGCCGUAGGGAAGCCGUGAAGCGAGCCACCUGGGAAGUACGGCCGCAAGGCUGAAACUUAAAGGAAUUGGCGGGGGAGCAC
RNAcentral lists this ribosomal RNA (793 nucleotides) under uncultured archaeon. RNAcentral's name for it is "bacterial SSU rRNA". It matches the Rfam family "Archaeal small subunit ribosomal RNA", at positions 85 to 879 of the family's 1478-position model. The record is from RNAcentral.